This 491-nucleotide ribosomal RNA is filed under the name uncultured bacterium. RNAcentral's name for it is "partial 16S ribosomal RNA". It matches the Rfam family "Bacterial small subunit ribosomal RNA", at positions 29 to 507 of the family's 1533-position model. The record is from RNAcentral.
AGUGAACGCUGGCGGUAGGCCUAACACAUGCAAGUCGAACGGCAGCACAGUAAGAGCUUGCUCUUACGGGUGGCGAGUGGCGGACGGGUGAGGAAUACAUCGGAAUCUACUUUUUCGUGGGGGAUAACGUAGGGAAACUUACGCUAAUACCGCAUACGACCUACGGGUGAAAGCAGGGGAUCUUCGGACCUUGCGCGAUUGAAUGAGCCGAUGUCGGAUUAGCUAGUUGGCGGGGUAAAGGCCCACCAAGGCGACGAUCCGUAGCUGGUCUGAGAGGAUGACCGGCCACACGGGAACUGAGACACGGCCCAGCCCCUUACGGAAGGCAGCAGUGGGGAAUAUUGACCAAGGGGCGCAACCCUGACCCACCCAUACCGCGUGGGUGAAGAAGGCCUUCGGGUUGAAAAGCCCUUUUGUUGGGAAAGAAAGGCAGCAGGUUAAUCCCCGCUGUUCUGACGGUACCCAAAGAAUAAGCACCGGCUAACUUCGUG